AUGGGAGAAGGAGGCUCACGGGGUACGCCGGUGUCUGGUCCAGAGCCCCUCAACCUCCAGCCCAACCAGAUAGGAGGACCCCCGGUGCUGGAUAGUUGGACACCUAGCCUACCUGCAGUGCUGGGCCCAACUCAAGGGUGUAAACUGGAAUGUAGAGGCGGCAAUAGGGAGCCGCAGAUGGUCCGGGAGCAGGGGAGUGACGCAGUGCGGUGCCCACACCGCCUGAUUGGGUGCAAGAGACACCAGCCCAAUCCCACGAUAGCUGGGCGGUCCCGGCGGACCUCUAGGGAAGGAGGGGGUGGGCGCAAGUGGCAGCCCUCCUGCCCAUGUCAGAGCCAACGCGACCGCUCCAGGCGGGCUCCGUCCAUACCCGGGCGUUCUCGGGGGAGAGGCAGACGGCCUGCGGGAGGCACCGGGCUCUGGGAUUUGGGGAGGCUGUGGGAGAACGGUUCACUCGCCUUCCGGGGCGGACAGCGAGCUAGGCGACCCCCAAGAGAGCCCCGGCCGGCACGCGCGGAUCCCAGAAGCUCGGGCGGGGCGCCCUUCGGAGGAAUGUUUCCAGGGCUCGGGCAGCGCCGCCGCCGAAGCCUUUCCACUCUCUCCCCGCCCGGCUCGCCGCCCGCUCUCGCGCCCCCUCCAGGGCUCCCCAUCUUCCCCCACCCGAACCCCACAUCGCUGCCCUCCGGGCCGGCUGCGCCCAGGCACUUGGUGCAGAGUAGCCUCUCCACGGGCCCCGCCUCCGCCGGGAAGCCGCGCGCGGUUGCCAGGAACGCGGCAGGCGAUCGAAGCUGGACGGCGGCCCGGGCAUCUAGGCACUGGCGGCUUCGGCCCUCCUGGGCGGCCCCGGCCCGGCCCUCUCCCCACCCGCGCCCUCCGCGGGGCCGAGCUUCCCACCGCGCCCCUGCCCUCCGAUUCCUGUCUCUUCCGCUGCGGCGGAUUCUUUCCCUUCUGUGUUCCCGCUCCUCCCGGAUCACCUUCUACUCGCCCCCUUUCCUUCUGCAGCAGAGAGUACAAGAAAAGGGGUUCAUCCACCCCACUCUUCGCCAGCCCGCUGUGGGGUGGUUGGGCUCCCCAUGUCCCCCUUGGUAA
Molecule: long non-coding RNA, 1089 nt
Filed under: Macaca fascicularis (crab-eating macaque)
Lineage: Eukaryota; Metazoa; Chordata; Mammalia; Primates; Cercopithecidae
Description: lncRNA (ENSMFAG00000055899.1)
Source: RNAcentral